This 28-nucleotide non-coding RNA is filed under the name Rattus norvegicus (Norway rat). The record is from RNAcentral. Lineage: Eukaryota; Metazoa; Chordata; Mammalia; Rodentia; Muridae.
UAAAAUCAUCUCCGUUGCACCGCGCUCA